CCUCCCCUCUUCCUCGUCACCGGCCGCCUCAACAUCUCGCUCUCGCCCUCCUCCGUGGAACCGCGUCCGGGCUGCUGAGGUCGACGACGAGUACCCCGAGAAGUUCCUCAAGGAUGCUUAGAGCUGCAUCAACGCUGUCGAGGAACACCCUGAGCUGGAGGAAUGGCACAGGAUCCAAUCCUUAGACCUUCAUCCACUUGGUUAUUAUCUGCACCAAAUACCCUCAGACCUCUCUAUCUAUGCGUUGCUUAGGUUAAUUUUUGUUAGCUACAAGAUGCAAUGAUGGAUUCAUCUAAUUAUUUUGUGAAAAAGUUCGCUCUGUAGAAUUAAGAAGCAGCUGCAGAUAAAAAGUUGGUUCCAGUUUGAGUUUUUCGUUCUUCUAUAUGUGGGUGUACUUAGCUGAGGUGAGGAAAUAAGAAGUUCAGAUUUCACUGAGGCAGACAGCACUCGGUUAAAUGAUUAAUAUGCAGCUCUGUUAUUAUUUAUAUAAAUAAAAGGUGUACAUCCACAUUAGCCGCGUCGAGAAUUUUAGCCCCUUUUGUUUUGUGACACACACCAUCUCCAUAUGUAUAUGCCUAAUGCUUUGAAUGUCAAAAUGAGGUUGGAGCUGAAUAUGCUUAAGCAGUCUGCUUACUGUGCUGAAAUGUUUUUUUGCAGGUCUGGGCAAUCACUGACAGUCUGCAGUUCGCCAAUUUGCAUUAUAAUAGAAACAAUUCAGUCCUCAUCUAUGCUUGAAGUGCAGGUACAUACUGUUAAUUGACUACAGGUUUAGCUAUUUCAUUGCUACUAGUAAGCGGCGUGCACCAUUGCAUCCAGUAUGAUAUGGGUCCUUCAAUCUCCACAAAUAAGCAUUUAGCUUCCAUAAAACUGGAAUAGAACAGUUUUCCCAUUCAUAAACACUCAAAUAUAGCAGUUUUGUCAUUUAUGAACACUGGACUAGUAGACACUGGAGACUGGACUAGAAUAACUCAAAUACAGUCCCUUCUCUGAUGGCUGAGUAGUUUGAACUUUGGAGACUUAAUCUUCUGGACAAGAGUAGUUUUUUCCAGUAACGCAGGGCCUGGGUUUCUCUGUUAAUUGUAGGGUGGCAAAGUUAGGAGGCGAAAUGAUUGGGACGAAUGGUUGAUUCCUCUAGAGAGUAACGUUUGUAUUCCGUCAAGCUCUGCAGCUGUGCCAGGUCCCAUUGUCAAUAAUCUGACAGCACACCUUGGAGGUGUGGUUCUGAUAUUGUUAGUAAGGCCGCACAUGAUUUGGUGUACAAUUACUCUUCCAAGGCUAUACUAAUAGAUAAUCCUGGUCAUUCUCUAAUUUUUCCUAUCGUGGAUCACCCACUACAAAGUGACGGUAAUGGGGAUAUUUGUCGGAACCGAAAAAAGUUGUAGUGCUUCAUCCUGGCUACGAAGAUAGAAUGGGCUGAAAAGGCAUUGGUUGCAGAUGAAGGAAAAUAAAGAAUCGUUGAUUUAUUCCUAUGGUCGGUAGCGCUAUAUACACCGGAUUGGGCCAAGGUAUAACUGCGUUGAUGUAACUUUAUCGACCUUGCUGCAUUCCAUGUUUUUCACUUCCUUAUGUUGAUGGUGAUUCCUUUCUUCCAGUGCAGACCUGGAUUGUAGAAUUGCUUGCUUCAGUUGAGGCUUCUGACUGUCCUUUGCGGUUCACAAAUAGAUUGUAGGAUGUUUUGAUUGAUCUGUGAGAUGUGCUACCCUGAAAUGCUGUUCACAAAUAGAUUGACUGUCCUUCAGUUGAGGCUUCUGACUGUCCUUUGGUGGUUUUUCACAUUUGUUCAGGUAACCACCUACCGACUAUACCUUCUGAAAUGCUGUAUGCAAAUUGGUUCUCCUGUUGGUGGUUCUUUCUCGUGUGCUUACGUGUUAUAUGGCUGCUAUGGGUUUGAAAUGGUUGCAAUGUCAUACUUUUCAGAUCCAUGAACUGAGCUAAACUUUCUGAAUUCUGAUAGAAUGAGAAGCCUACAGUGAAUAUGUCCAAAUGUUCCUCUAUCACCAUAGCCUAAAUUAAUAUAUAGGAAUUUAAUUUUAUUUUUUAUUCCUGUUGGGUUCACAUGUAAUGUAUUCAGCUAUAAUACACCAGUGAAUUAGACAUAUCAUCUUUUAUGCUGAAUCAGCACCACUGCAUUAUGUAGCUAUGUUCACCACAGGUUAUGAGUUUGUUUUUUGUAUUACUUUAACAGCAUGUUAAUUUUUCACAAAUCUCCUGCUUCAGCUAUAGAUUUCUUUGUACAACAUGCGCAAAUUAUUGAUCUUAUUCCGAAGUCUUAUUCUGCGGUGUUUAACUGCAGGCUGAGUUCAAUUUGUUUUUGUGCCAGAAACGGAACAGGUAGUGCUCUAACCUCAGCAGCAUAUGGUCUAAAUUUCAUACUUAGGGUCAUUCAAAUAUCUGGAAUAUUAGUCCUGAGUCAAGGUAAUUUUCCUCAUCCCCUUAAUGUAUCAUGGAAAUUUACGUCCACCUUUGUGCUUGCUUGUUAAAAAUUGCUCAUUUGGUUCUUUGUUCAGAUUUAUGAUCAUUACGAUUUACUACUUCACCAUAGAUUUACAACAACAAUAUUUGUUUUGUUCUAGAUCAACUGUUACGGGAAUACAUUAUUCCCGAAGUUCUUUUAGCUGUAUUGGUCAUAGCACUGUUUUUUUUUCUGCUUUUGUAGUUGAAGGGUUAGUUACACUCUGAUUUUGUAGCAUUUUUUCCAUGUGAGAGAGAUUGUAUAUUGUUGUCAUCCUGAAACAAUGCUGGAGCUCUAAAGAAAAAGCUAGCAGUACUCCAUGGUUAUAGGUUGUACAAAUAGUAUGGUAAUGUUGCAUUCACUGUAGGAUGACCAUGAUGCACCAAAUUUGAGAAACUCGUGAGGUGAAUUAAUUGGUGCUUAACCUAAUUUCGCUUGGCCGCCCAGCAACUUCGUUUCUGUGUAAAUGGUGCAUCUGUAUAUGAAAUGGUUAUGCGUUUUGAUAUUUGUCAUCUAAUUUUUUUGAAGAGUUGCGAUAGAUUCUAAGCAGUUGCAGUUCAUGAUUUUCCUCUUUAAUAUCCAUGUCAUUCAGUCAAGAUAGUGCGCAAAGUUUCUGGUUGUUUUUAUUUCUCCAGGCAGUGAAAACAUGUUGAUUUCUUGACCACAUCAAGUGAUACAUGUUAUGUUAAGUGUUUAAAUAUUUUUUUGCUCAUGUUUCUCCCGGACCAGCACAAUGGAAUGAACUUUACAACAUUUAGUUAGCAUAUUAUAUAUUUUCUGAGGGAAAAUGGCAGGCGCUCUGCCUUUGUUAUAGAUUAUGAAUGUACAAGAGAAAACACAAUGGAGAAAGAGAGGGAGGAAGCAAAGGAAAACGAAGAAGCAGUCACCCCAGGCGCUGCCUGUACACGGAUGUUCAGCUAAGGUUCUACUACAUUCAGCCGGAUGAGCUGCAGAUCAUUGACAACACCACCACCAACAGAGACUGGGCAUGAGGCCGUGUUUGUGAAGAUACUGUUCCUUUCGUUCCAGAUGUGCCAAGCAAAAUAUGCCCCUGUAACAGCCGUGUGCUUUGGCCCUCCAGCAAGGUGCGGCCGCCACUUGCCAAUGGAGUUGAAGGAUGUGAUGUUUACUUGUUGGAUAGCUGGAUUUGAAGCGCCAAGUUUGAACCACAUUUCAGCGGUGAAAGGGCAUUGACAGAAGAGGUGAGCUGCAGAUUCGAUAUCUGAUCGCAUAGGGCGCAUUUGUCGUCAUGUUGGCUGCCCCGGUCGCGAAUUCUGUCUGCAGUUGGAAGCCUGUUUUGGGCUAGCAGCCAAGUAGAGAAACGAACUUUUCCUUCCAUUUUCAGCCUCCAGAUGGCAUUCAGAUGGGGCUUGUGCAUGGCUCCAAUAAGAGCCAGACGCCGUCCAAUUCCAAGAUAUGGAGUCAGGGGUGUGGUCAAGCUGGAUGUGCUGGGGCUUGCUCCAAAGAUCCACGAAGGAAUCGAUCUCGUCAGAAGAGUUGAUACGCUGAAGGCCCUUCAUCCAUCUGUCAUCCGAGAGGGCAGCUGCAACCGUCAGGUUCUUCCUUCUUGCCAGAUUGAAAAGCUUUGGAGCAAGGUCUAUCAGAGCAGAGCCAAAAAGGCGUAAGCUUUCCAUCGCCCAGCGAAACAGUGGUGGAUGCACGAAACAAGCUCAAAUCACCCGCAGAGCAGGCCAGUGGGAAGCAAGUCCAUGGUCGGGAUGGGUUCUUCCAGGCAGUCCAAGGUCAUCAUAGGUGAAGAGCUGUACUGUAGGCGUCCAGAUUCUUGAUGCCAAGACCACCCAUUCGCUUUGGGGUGUAUACCUGUUUCCAGUUGACGGCACAGUGCCCUCCUUUAGCAUCUUCAUCUCCUCUCCACAGAAAACUGUGGCAAAUCUUGUCGAUGCGCUUGAUGAUCCACUUAGAAGGUGCAAAAAGAGUGAGGUAGUAAGUGGUUAUGGAAGUUAGAACAAAGUUGAUUUGCGUCAAUCUGCCAGCCUUGUUCAAAAGUUUCCCCUUCCAUCCAGCAAAGCUUGGCGGCUAUCUUGUCAAUGAGGAGUUGAAAGUCAAUUCUUCUUAGUUUUCUGAUGUUGAGUGGUACACCUAGAUAUCUGCAAGGGAACGAGCUGACCUCCCCCUGAAACGCAGAGAGCACCUCUUGAAUGAUGUUAUCAUCACAGCAGACAUGGUACGCGGAGGAUUUGCUGAAAUCGGUCUGCAGCGCGGAGAUGUGACCGAAGGACCCCCGGCCUCUGCAUCUGGGCGAUGCAUACGGCCACUUUAUUAAUUAUUCUCACAAGACCUUACAAAGUCAUACAACAGUAAGACUAAAGCCACCGUCUAAGCAACAACUGUCGCUACUCCUCUCCAAUUGAUGAAGGGGCGCUGAUAGUCUGGGCCUAAUACCAAACAGACAUCGCAGCCAAACCUAAACAUCUAAGACCUGAGGUCCCAACCAGGACGCCUGCCUGGUAUGGAGCACCUACCAGUCCGGCGCACUCCUCAACCAGGACGCCUGCCGGGUAUGAGGCCGCCGCAGCCACCUGCCACCAAUCCAUCUUCAGUGAUGUACUGCUGCACCACCUUGUCCGGCCUCUCUGCUAUCGACGCCACCACGACGCAUGAUAACGUCACCCUCCUGCGCCGGAACGAAGCCACCGAGCCCCAUCGAGGGCGGCCAACGGGGGCGGAGAAGCUAGAUCCGGCCAAGCCCGGCCAGGAUCCGACCUCUCCCCGCGCUGAAGCCGAGGUUGCGCCCGCAGGGCCAGAUCCGAGCCGGAUCCGCGCCUGCGCCAGCCCCGAUCCGCCGCCACGCCAUGGUCUUGCACCGUGCAGCCACCACGGCCUGGACGCCUGCCCACACCGCAUGGCCGAGAGCCCCGCCGCCGCCACGCCCCGCACCAGCGUCACGCCCCCGCCGCGCCGCCGCAUCUCGCGCUGCCGCCACACACCGGGAGGGGAAGAGAACCCUGCCGCCGCCGACGCCCACGGGCUUCGCCCGGUGGCGCCCUCCGGCGGCGGCAGGGGAAGGGAGGUUGGAGGAGGCGGCCGCGGAGUUGAGGCUAGGGUUCGCCCGACGCCGUUUGCGAGAGCAACGCGGGGCAGUUACUGGUCUUUGCUGAUGUUAAGAAUGGCCAACUGAUUGAACUUGUUCACAGCAUUAGCAGUAAUCUUGAUAAACUUGGCAUUCCUGACCUUCUAUUUUUGACGUUCUGUUCUGUUGACCUAUUUGCAGGUUUUUACAGAGGAAUUAGUCCAGGUGCUACUGGUUCACUUGCUACAGGUGCAACAUAUCUUGAGUCAACUAAGACAUGGAUGGAGAACGCUAAUCCUAAUCUAAGAGGUCAUUGGUCUCACUUUAUUGCUGCAGGAAUUGGUGAGAAAUUGUGUUUUUAUGUCUACUGUUUUUUGUUUCCGAAAAAUCUGCACGAUGCUGUGUAAAAUUUAGAAUGGUUCUCAGCAUCUAUUCGAGCAUGCUAGCUUUCUGUUUUUACGCGCACAUUUCUGGAAGCAUGAAUGCAUGUUCAUGGAGCAAACUGGGUCGAUUUUUGUGUAAAAAAAGCGAUACUAUCCGCACGAAGUUGUCUUAUUGCACUCAUUACUAAACAUAUGCAUAAUCCCUUCAUUUGACAGGCAUUGCAAUCAUUUGCCUCUGAUCUUCCUAUUUGCUUGUUCCGCGGGACAAAACUUGGGAACAAUGGGUUGCCAAGUGAGACAAAUCCAAGAGAGCGAGGAAGAACUGAAAGGAGAAGAAGUGCAUGGGUCUGCUUUUAGUCGAGACAGGCGAAAUCAAAGUGCAUUGGCGUUAUUGUUUUUGUAUCAUAUUAUGCAUGUAUUUUGCAAAUUGCUUGACAGCAAAAACGGAAGAAUUGUGUAAUAGUCAAGCAGGCCGUCCAGGAAUGUAUGGCUUGAUAAAUGAUAACUUUGUUCUGUUUUUACUUGCAUGUUACUUACUCGAAACGUCGAAGUGGAAUCUUAUUGAUUUGGAGUACUGAGUACUCCCUCCG
This 6456-nucleotide long non-coding RNA is filed under the name Triticum aestivum (bread wheat). RNAcentral's name for it is "long non-coding RNA (TAES_LNC004022)". Lineage: Eukaryota; Viridiplantae; Streptophyta; Magnoliopsida; Poales; Poaceae. The record is from RNAcentral.